GGGUAAGGAGGAGCCCUGGGAGCUGGGAGAGUCAGGGCUUCUGACUUCAGAGCCAGCUUUCAGAUUCCCACUCACCUGCAGCUUGGAGACACUGACAGCUACUUGAGUCAACAGUGGAGAAGACAGCAGGCAUAUGAGAUAUCUCCAGCAUGAAUUCUGGGUAAUCCCAGAGGGCAGGAGGCACCUGGAAAGAUUUCCUGCAGGAAGCCUGGGAGACCAGAGAGUGCAGCAUCUUCAGAUCAGUGAAUAGUUGUUCAUCGCCUCCCAUGUACAAAGUACUUCUUGAGAUACAUCGUUGUUGUCGUCCUUCGUUCUCGAAGAGGACCACGAAGUCAGGGAGGUGAUGC
Phascolarctos cinereus (koala) is the source of this 347-nucleotide non-coding RNA. NCBI's taxonomy places the organism in Eukaryota, Metazoa, Chordata, Mammalia, Diprotodontia, Phascolarctidae. The record is from RefSeq and is a predicted model, not a curated record.